This 496-nucleotide ribosomal RNA is filed under the name uncultured bacterium. RNAcentral's name for it is "partial 16S ribosomal RNA". It matches the Rfam family "Bacterial small subunit ribosomal RNA", at positions 28 to 506 of the family's 1533-position model. The record is from RNAcentral.
GAUGAACGCUGGCGGCGUGCCUAAUACAUGCAAGUCGAGCGAACGGACGAGAAGCUUGCUUCUCUGAUGUUAGCGGCGGACGGGUGAGUAACACGUGGAUAACCUACCUAUAAGACUGGGAUAACUUCGGGAAACCGGAGCUAAUACCGGAUAAUAUUUUGAACCGCAUGGUUCAAAAGUGAAAGACGGUCUUGCUGUCACUUAUAGAUGGAUCCGCGCUGCAUUAGCUAGUUGGUAAGGUAACGGCUUACCAAGGCAACGAUGCAUAGCCGACCUGAGAGGGGGAUCGGCCACACAGGAACUGAAAAACGGUCCAGACUCCUACGGGAGGCAGCAGUAGGGAAUCUUCCGCAAUGGGCGAAAGCCUGACGGAGCAACGCCGGGGGAGUGAAGAAGGUCUUCGGAUCGUAAAACUCUUUUAUUGGGGAAAAACAUAUGUGUAAGUAACUGUGCACAUUUUGACGGUACCUAAUCAGAAAGCCCCGGCCAACAACGG